Molecule: non-coding RNA, 25 nt
Filed under: Rattus norvegicus (Norway rat)
Lineage: Eukaryota; Metazoa; Chordata; Mammalia; Rodentia; Muridae
Source: RNAcentral
UAAUACAAGAGGGAAAGACAGAGGG